RNAcentral lists this ribosomal RNA (368 nucleotides) under uncultured alga. RNAcentral's name for it is "bacterial LSU rRNA". It matches the Rfam family "Bacterial large subunit ribosomal RNA", at positions 2098 to 2465 of the family's 2925-position model. The record is from RNAcentral.
CCUUUACUAUAGCUUCGCCUUGGCGCUAGCGACCGUAUGUGUAGGAUAGGUGGGAGGCUAUGAAGCCGGGGCGCCAGCUCUGGUGGAGCCAUCCUUGAAAUACCACCCUUACUGUCGUUGACGUCUAACCGAGGGCCGUUAUCCGGUCCCGGGACAUGGCGUGGUGGGUAGUUUGACUGGGGCGGUCGCCUCCUAAAGUGUAACGGAGGCGCGCGAUGGUGGGCUCAGACCGGUCGGAAAUCGGUCGUCGAGUGCAAUGGCAUAAGCCCGCCUGACUGCGAGACUGACAAGUCGAGCAGAGACGAAAGUCGGCCAUAGUGAUCCGGUGGUCCCGCGUGGAAGGGCCAUCGCUCAACGGAUAAAAGGUA